Molecule: ribosomal RNA, 730 nt
Filed under: uncultured bacterium
Lineage: Bacteria
Description: bacterial SSU rRNA
Rfam family: Bacterial small subunit ribosomal RNA
Source: RNAcentral
AGAGUUUGAUCCUGGCUCAGAUUGAACGCUGGCGGCAUGCUUUACACAUGCAAGUCGAACGGCAGCGGGGGCUUCGGCCUGCCGGCGAGUGGCGAACGGGUGAGUAAUACAUCGGAACGUGUCCUUAAGUGGGGAAUAACGCAUCGAAAGAUGUGCUAAUACCGCAUAUCUCUCAGGAGGAAAGCAGGGGAUCGAAAGACCUUGCGCUAAAGGAGCGGCUGAUGUCUGAUUAGCUAGUUGGUGGGGUAAAGGCUUACCAAGGCAACGAUCAGUAGCUGGUCUGAGAGGACGACCAGCCACACUGGGACUGAGACACGGCCCAGACUCCUACGGGAGGCAGCAGAGGGGAAUUUUGGACAAUGGGCGAAAGCCUGAUCCAGCCAUGCCGCGUGAGUGAAGAAGGCCUUCGGGUUGUAAAGCUCUUUUAGUCGGAAAGAAAGAGUCAUAGUAAAUAGCUAUGAUUUAUGACGGUACCGACAGAAAAAGCACCGGCUAACUACGUGCCAGCAGCCGCGGUAAUACGUAGGGUGCGAGCGUUAAUCGGAAUUACUGGGCGUAAAGGGUGCGCAGGCGGCCUUGUAAGUCAGAUGUGAAAGCCCCGGGCUUAACCUGGGAAUUGCGUUUGAAACUACAAAGCUAGAGUGCAGCAGAGGGGAGUGGAAUUCCAUGUGUAGCAGUGAAAUGCGUAGAGAUGUGGAAGAACACCGAUGGCGAAGGCAGCUCCCUGGGU